UAUCUCUGUAGAGUCUGCAUAUCAAUAAGCGGAGGAAAAGAAACUAACUAGGAUUCCCUCAGUAACGGCGAGUGAAGCGGGAAGAGCUCAAAUUUGAGAUCUUCAAGGUUCCUACCUUGACGAAUUGUAGUUUAAAGAAGUGUUUUCUGUUGGAGUUUUGGUAAAAGUUCUUUGGAAUAGGACAUCAUAGAGGGUGAGAAUCCCGUAUUUGACCAUUAUUUCCAGCUUUGUGAUACACUUUCAAAGAGUCGGAUUGUUUGGGAAUGCAGUCCAAAAUGGGUGGUAAAUUUCAUCUAAAGCUAAAUAUUGGCGAGAGACCGAUAGCGAACAAGUACCGUGAGGGAAAGAUGAAAAGAACUUUGAAAAGAGAGUUAAACAGUACGUGAAAUUGUCAAAAGGGAAGCGUUUGACACCAGUGUUGUUUUCUCGAAAAUCAAUUAAAAAAGGCAGGAUUUUGUGUUGUAUUGACUUUAUCAGCUUUCUGCACUCUUUUCUUGUCUUUUUUUAAUGCACUCUUCGUUUAACAAGUCAACAUCAAUUUCUUUUGUUGUAAAAGGGUCAUUGGAAGGUGGCUUUCUUUUCGGAGAAAGUGUUUAUAGCCUUUGGCCUCUGCAAUCGGAGAGAUUGAGGUCUGCAGCGUAGAUCCUUCGGGGUUAGAUACAUUUGUGCUAAGUUAUAGCCUUUCAUAGACAACUUGUUGACUAUGAUCAGUCAUGUAGCUUACUCGCUUAUGCUAUUUUACCUACGCUUAGGAUGUUGACGAUCAGCUGAGCGCG
Molecule: ribosomal RNA, 776 nt
Filed under: uncultured Neocallimastigales
Lineage: Eukaryota; Fungi; Neocallimastigomycota; Neocallimastigomycetes; Neocallimastigales
Description: partial large subunit ribosomal RNA
Rfam family: Eukaryotic large subunit ribosomal RNA
Source: RNAcentral